Molecule: ribosomal RNA, 403 nt
Filed under: Verrucomicrobiota bacterium
Lineage: Bacteria; Pseudomonadati; Verrucomicrobiota
Description: Verrucomicrobia bacterium partial 16S ribosomal RNA
Rfam family: Bacterial small subunit ribosomal RNA
Source: RNAcentral
UGGGGAAUAUUGCACAAUGGGGGAAACCCUGAUGCAGCGACGCCGCGUGAGCGAAGAAGGUUUUUGAAUCGUAAAGCUCUGUCCUAUGAGAAGAUAAUGACGGUAUCAUAGGAGGAAGCCCCGGCUAAAUACGUGCCAGCAGCCGCGGUAAUACGUAUGGGGCGAGCGUUGUCCGGAAUUAUUGGGCGUAAAGGGUACGUAGGCGGUCUAUUAAGUCAGGUGUGAAAGCGUGAGGCUUAACCUCAUUAAGCACUUGAAACUGAUAGACUUGAGUGAAGGAGAGGAAAGUGGAAUUCCUAGUGUAGCGGUGAAAUGCGUAGAUAUUAGGAGGAAUACCGGUGGCGAAGGCGACUUUCUGGACUUUUACUGACGCUCAGGUACGAAAGCGUGGGGAGCAAACAGG